This 469-nucleotide ribosomal RNA is filed under the name uncultured bacterium. RNAcentral describes it as "partial 16S ribosomal RNA". It matches the Rfam family "Bacterial small subunit ribosomal RNA", at positions 27 to 507 of the family's 1533-position model. The record is from RNAcentral.
GGACGAACGCUGGCGGCGUGCUUAACACAUGCAAGUCGAACGGAAAGGCCCUGCUUUGGUGGGGUGCUCGAGUGGCGAACGGGUGAGUAACACGUGAGUAACCUGCCCUUGACUUUGGGAUAACUUCAGGAAACUGGGGCUAAUACCGGAUAGGAGCUCCUGCUGCAUGGUGGGGGUUGGAAAGUUUCGGCGGUUGGGGAUGGACUCGCGGCUUAUCAGCUUGUUGGUGGGGUAGUGGCUUACCAAGGCUUUGACGGGUAGCCGGCCUGAGAGGGUGACCGGCCACAUUGGGACUGAGAUACGGCCCAGACUCCUACGGGAGGCAGCAGUGGGGAAUAUUGCACAAUGGGCGGAAGCCUGAUGCAGCAACGCCGCGUGCGGGAUGACGGCCUUCGGGUUGUAAACCGCUUUCGCCUGUGACGAAGCGUGAGUGACGGUAAUGGGUAAAGAAGCACCGGCUAACUACGUG